Molecule: ribosomal RNA, 477 nt
Filed under: uncultured bacterium
Lineage: Bacteria
Description: partial 16S ribosomal RNA
Rfam family: Bacterial small subunit ribosomal RNA
Source: RNAcentral
GAUGAACGCUGGCGGCGUGCCUAACACAUGCAAGUCGAACGAAGCACCUUACCUGAUUCUUCGGAUGAAAGUUUGGUGACUGAGUGGCGGACGGGUGAGUAACGCGUGGGUAACCUGCCCUGUACAGGGGGAUAACAGCUGGAAACGGCUGCUAAUACCGCAUAAGCGCACGAGGAGACAUCUCCUUGUGUGAAAAACUCCGAUGGUACAGGAUGGGCCCGCGUCUGAUUAGCUGGUUGGCAGGGUAACGGCCUACCAAGGCAACGAUCACUAGCCGGGCUGAGAGGCACAGCGGCGACACUUGAAGUGGGACGCGGUAGAAAAUCCUACGGGAGGCGGCAGUGGGGAACAGUGCAAAAUGGGGGGAGCCAUGAUGCAGCAACGCCGCGUGAGUGAUGAAGUAAUUGGGUAAGUAAUGUGUUAGCAGCAAGGAAGAUAAUGACGGUACCUGACUAGGAAGCCACGGCUAAAUACGUG